RNAcentral lists this ribosomal RNA (505 nucleotides) under uncultured Pseudomonadota bacterium. Its description in RNAcentral is "bacterial SSU rRNA". It matches the Rfam family "Bacterial small subunit ribosomal RNA", at positions 399 to 896 of the family's 1533-position model. Lineage: Bacteria; Pseudomonadati; Pseudomonadota. The record is from RNAcentral.
GCGUGAGUGAUGAAGGCCUUCGGGUUGUAAAGCUCUGUGGGGCGAGACGAAUAAGUGCAGCCUAAUACGUUGCAUGAUGACGGUAUCGCCUUAGCAAGCACCGGCUAACUCUGUGCCAGCAGCCGCGGUAAGACAGAGGGUGCAAACGUUGUUCGGAAUUACUGGGCGUAAAGCGAGUGUAGGCGGUCUUCUAAGUCGGAUGUGAAAGCCCCGGGCUCAACCCGGGAAGUGCACUCGAAACUGGAAGGCUAGAGUAUCGGAGAGGUUGGUGGAAUUCUCGGUGUAGAGGUGAAAUUCGUAGAUAUCGAGAGGAACACCGGUGGCGAAGGCGGCCAACUGGACGAAUACUGACGCUGAGACUCGAAAGCGUGGGGAGCAAACAGGAUUAGAUACCCUGGUAGUCCACGCCGUAAACGAUGGGUGCUAGGUGUCGCGGGCUUUGACUCCCGCGGUGCCGUAGCUAACGCAUUAAGCACCCCGCCUGGGAAGUACGGCCGCAAGGCUA